AAGACUAUACUUCACGGGAUCAUUUCUGUAGUCAGUCUUCACUUUCUAUCGUGCUAAACGAUAACACACUAUCCCGCGUUGAUGAGGGAAAUCGUUCUAUUCGGCAGCGUGAGGUUAUGUGCAGAUGCCUUGUUUGGGUGACGACACUUCGGUGUUGUUGCUUGGGGCUCUGUACUUCGAUGAUCGCUCGGUAACACGGAUAGAACGAAUUCUGAGUGGU
This is a small nucleolar RNA of Scaptodrosophila lebanonensis, 220 nucleotides long. RefSeq annotates it as small nucleolar RNA U3. NCBI's taxonomy places the organism in Eukaryota, Metazoa, Arthropoda, Insecta, Diptera, Drosophilidae. The transcript has a single exon. The record is from RefSeq and is a predicted model, not a curated record.